This 846-nucleotide long non-coding RNA is filed under the name Marmota monax (woodchuck). Lineage: Eukaryota; Metazoa; Chordata; Mammalia; Rodentia; Sciuridae. The record is from RNAcentral.
GAUUUCAUGCUUUGGAUUCAUGAGAAAAAAACUUGGAAAGAAGUCCCUGGCGGGUGCCCGGGAUCUGCUGCAACACCACAGCAGAGCAGAAAAUCUGGUUUCAUCUUUUGGGAGCUUGUCUGGGAUCUUUUUGAAGGCAUGACCCUUGCCCUAUGUACACCUUGAUCAGUCACCCACCAACUGCCACCAGGGACCUCUGGACUGCCUUGCUGCAUGAGACACUUAGCCUCAAAAGGCCAUAGAGAUGGAAUCCAUAAUGAAAUCUCCAUCUGCUGGGAGCCCUUAAAUAGGUCUCUGUAGGAGGGCCUUCCUGUCAUUCCCCUUUCAAUGCCCCUUUUCUGUUUGAAGGAGCCAAAGUGGUUAUCGCCCUUUCCCUAAUGGCAGGUAAGGAUACUUUCUCAGAGAGAGGAAAUGAAUAAAAUAGGAUAGGUAGACAGAUAGAUAAUAAAACAGGCAGAUAGGUCAUGUUUUAUCAUCAGUGCCCCACCAUAACCACCAAAAAGAGGCUUCUCUAAAUGAACAGCUAUGAAAUUAACCUGCAGAAACACUCCAGCCAACUCCUUGGUCUGGGGUGGCAGGACAGACCUGAGUGAAGGCUACAGACUGACGGGCUAACCAACCAGAAUGCUGUGGGCCGAACCAAUAGCCUUAACACUUUUCCAUUACUCACAACGUGGAUUUUGACAGAUAGCCUUGGCACUUUUCCAAUACCUGAUUAGCACAAAUAUUGGUCAGUGCUCCUAACCAGUAGCUAUAAAAACUCUUAGAGUAAUACAUUUAAGUGGCAAUCCCUAUCAGGUCCCCUUUCACCUUGGGGGAUCUCUGUGUCUUCUCAAUUGAAUAAAU